This 408-nucleotide ribosomal RNA is filed under the name uncultured bacterium. Its description in RNAcentral is "bacterial SSU rRNA". It matches the Rfam family "Bacterial small subunit ribosomal RNA", at positions 30 to 440 of the family's 1533-position model. The record is from RNAcentral.
AUUGAACGCUGGCGGCAUGCCUUACACAUGCAAGUCGAACGGCAGCACGGGAGCAAUCCUGGUGGCGAGUGGCGAACGGGUGAGUAAUAUAUCGGAACGUGCCCAGUCGUGGGGAUAACGUAGCGAAAGCUACGCUAAUACCGCAUACGAUCUAUGGAUGAAAGCGGGGGAUCGCAAGACCUCGCGCGAUUGGAGCGGCCGAUAUCAGAUUAGGUAGUUGGUGAGGUAAAGGCUCACCAAGCCGACGAUCUGUAGCUGGUCUGAGAGGACGACCAGCCACACUGGGACUGAGACACGGCCCAGACUCCUACGGGAGGCAGCAGUGGGGAAUUUUGGACAAUGGGCGCAAGCCUGAUCCAGCAAUGCCGCGUGCAGGAUGAAGGCCUUCGGUUGUAACUAGCUUUGUAC